RNAcentral lists this ribosomal RNA (253 nucleotides) under uncultured bacterium. Its description in RNAcentral is "partial 16S ribosomal RNA". It matches the Rfam family "Bacterial small subunit ribosomal RNA", at positions 524 to 776 of the family's 1533-position model. The record is from RNAcentral.
UACGAAGGGGGCUAGCGUUGUUCGGAAUUACUGGGCGUAAAGGGCGCGUAGGCGGCCUCGUCCGUCCGGCGUGAGAUGCCUGGGCUCAACCUAGGAAUUGCGCUCGAUACAGCGAGGCUAGAGUGUGGGAGAGGUUGGUGGAAUUCCCAGUGUAGAGGUGAAAUUCGUAGAUAUUGGGAAGAACACCGGUGGCGAAGGCGGCUCUCUGGACCGUAACUGACGCUGAGGCGCGAAAGCGUGGGGAGCAAACAGG